RNAcentral lists this ribosomal RNA (754 nucleotides) under uncultured Diversispora. RNAcentral's name for it is "SSU rRNA". It matches the Rfam family "Eukaryotic small subunit ribosomal RNA", at positions 339 to 1092 of the family's 1831-position model. The record is from RNAcentral. Lineage: Eukaryota; Fungi; Glomeromycota; Glomeromycetes; Diversisporales; Diversisporaceae.
GCCUACCAUGGUUUUAACGGGUAACGGGGAAUUAGGGUUCGAUUCCGGAGAGGGAGCCUGAGAAACGGCUACCACAUCCAAGGAAGGCAGCAGGCGCGCAAAUUACCCAAUCCCGACACGGGGAGGUAGUGACAAUAAAUAACAAUACGGGGCUCAUUUGGGUCUCGUAAUUGGAAUGAGUACAAUUUAAAUCCCUUAACGAGGAACAAUUGGAGGGCAAGUCUGGUGCCAGCAGCCGCGGUAAUUCCAGCUCCAAUAGCGUAUAUUAAAGUUGUUGCAGUUAAAAAGCUCGUAGUUGAACCUCGGGGUCUACCCAUUGGUCAGGCUUAAUUGUCUGCACUGGUGAGAUGGAUCUCUACCUUCUGAGGAACUUUCAUGCCAUUUAUUUGGUGUGAUGGGAAAUCAGGACUGUUACUUUGAAAAAAUUAGAGUGUUUAAAGCAGACUAUCGUCUGAAUACAUUAGCAUGGAAUAAUGAAAUAGGACGGGCUGAUUCUAUUUCGUUGGUUUCUAGGAUCACCGUAAUGAUUAAUAGGGAUAGUUGGGGGCAUUAGUAUUCAAUUGUCAGAGGUGAAAUUCUUGGAUUUAUUGAAGACUAACUACUGCGAAAGCAUUUGCCAAGGAUGUUUUCAUUAAUCAAGAACGAAAGUUAGGGGAUCGAAGACGAUCAGAUACCGUCGUAGUCUUAACCAUAAACUAUGCCGACUAGGGAUCGGACGAAGUUAAUUUUAUAAUGACGCGUUCGGCACCUUACG